Molecule: non-coding RNA, 26 nt
Filed under: Cricetulus griseus (Chinese hamster)
Lineage: Eukaryota; Metazoa; Chordata; Mammalia; Rodentia; Cricetidae
Source: RNAcentral
AAAAGGUCUGGUUUUUCUCAAUACAC